UACGUAGGGCGCAAGCGUUGUCCGGAAUUAUUGGGCGUAAAGAGCUCGUAGGCGGCUUGUCACGUCGGGUGUGAAAGCCCCGGGGCUUAACCCCGGGUCUGCAUUCGAUACGGGCAGGCUAGAGUGUGGUAGGGGAGAUCGGAAUUCCUGGUGUAGCGGUGAAAUGCGCAGAUAUCAGGAGGAACACCGGUGGCGAAGGCGGAUCUCUGGGCCAUUACUGACGCUGAGGAGCGAAAGCGUGGGGAGCGAACAGG
RNAcentral lists this ribosomal RNA (254 nucleotides) under uncultured bacterium. RNAcentral describes it as "partial 16S ribosomal RNA". It matches the Rfam family "Bacterial small subunit ribosomal RNA", at positions 524 to 776 of the family's 1533-position model. The record is from RNAcentral.